RNAcentral lists this non-coding RNA (164 nucleotides) under uncultured Goniomonas sp. The record is from RNAcentral. Lineage: Eukaryota; Cryptophyceae; Goniomonadida; Goniomonadaceae.
GUCCGGCUCUGGGGUUGUCCUUCCUUCUCCGCUAGAGGUCGGGUCAAAGCCGAAAGUCGGGUUUUCCUUGUUGACACCGAAAAUCCAAAUUGGCGGAUUCACAAAGAGGGAGCUUCCAUGGGAGAAACGUCUCAGGGAGGAGGAGGAAAGACAGCAGCGUGAAG